UGGGGAAUCUUGCGCAAUGGGCGAAAGCCUGACGCAGCAACGCCGCGUGGGGGAUGAAGCUUUUCGGAGUGUAAACCCCUUUCGACCCGGAAGAAGGCCCGCAAGGGUCUGACGGUACGGGUAUAAGAAGCCCCGGCUAACUACGUGCCAGCAGCCGCGGUAAAACGUAGGGGGCCAGCGUUGCUCGGAAUUACUGGGCGUAAAGGGUCUGUAGGCGGUGUGGCAAGUUGGAAGUGAAAUUUCAGGGCUUAACCCUGAAACUGCUUCCAAAACUGCCGUGCUCGAGUGCGAGAGAGGCGAGUGGAAUUGCAGGUGUAGCGGUGAAAUGCGUAGAUAUCUGCAGGAACAUCCGAGGCGAAAGCGGCUCGCUGGAUCGCAACUGACGCUGAGAGACGAAAGCUAGGGGAGCAAACAGGAUUAGAUACCCCCGUAGUCC
This 436-nucleotide ribosomal RNA is filed under the name uncultured bacterium. RNAcentral describes it as "bacterial SSU rRNA". It matches the Rfam family "Bacterial small subunit ribosomal RNA", at positions 355 to 796 of the family's 1533-position model. The record is from RNAcentral.